GUUUUUAUAGGUUAUACUAAACCGUUGGCCUGUGGAGCCGGAGAAAGAAAUUUAACUUGAAAACC
This 65-nucleotide transfer RNA is filed under the name Pyramidella dolabrata (giant Atlantic pyram). RNAcentral describes it as "tRNA-His". Lineage: Eukaryota; Metazoa; Mollusca; Gastropoda; Pyramidellidae. The record is from RNAcentral.